Molecule: ribosomal RNA, 881 nt
Filed under: uncultured bacterium
Lineage: Bacteria
Description: bacterial SSU rRNA
Rfam family: Bacterial small subunit ribosomal RNA
Source: RNAcentral
GGCUUGCUCCCAGGGGGAAGUGGCGAAAGGGGCAGUAAGGCGUGGGUAACCUACCCUGGGGUCCGGCAUAGCCGUCCUAACGGACGGGUAAUUCCGGGCGACGUAACGCGAUCGCAUGACCGUGUUACCAAAGGUUUUCCGCCCCGGGAGGGGCCCACGUGGUAUUAGCUUGUUGGUGGGGUAACGGCCCACCAAGGCCAAGAUGCCUAGCGGGUGUGAGAGCACGACCCGCGCCACUGGCACUGAGACACUGGCCAGACUCCUACGGGAGGCUGCAGUCGAGGAUCUUCGGCAAUGGGCGCAAGCCUGACCGAGCGACGCCGCGUGCGCGAUGAAGGCCUUCGGGUUGUAAAGCGCUGUCGAGGGGGAGGAAAGCCCGCAAGGGUCUGACCUAUCCCUGGAGGAAGCACGGGCUAAGUUCGUGCCAGCAGCCGCGGUAAGACGAACCGUGCGAACGUUGUUCGGAUUCACUGGGCUUAAAGGGCGCGUAGGCGGGUUUUCAAGUCCGGGGUGAAAUCCUCUCGCUCAACGAGAGAACUGCCCUGGAUACUGGAGACCUCGAGGGAGGUAGGGGCAUGUGGAACUUCCGGUGGAGCGGUGAAAUGCGUAGAUAUCGGAAGGAACGCCGGUGGCGAAAGCGACGUGCUGGACCUUUUCUGACGCUGAGGCGCGAAAGCCAGGGGAGCAAACGGGAUUAGAUACCCCGGUAGUCCUGGCCCUAAACGAUGGGUACUAGAUUGGAGACUGACAUGGGUUUCCAAUCGAAGCUAAAGUGUUAAGUACCCCGCCUGGGGAGUAUGGUCGCAAGGCUGAAACUCAAAGGAAUUGACGGGGGGCUCACACAAGCGGUGGAGCAUGUGGCUUAAUUCGAGGCUACGCGA